GACUCUAACCAUAGACCAUGAAUCUGGUCUUGGGACACUGUCAGGUGGGCAGUUUGCCUGGGGCGGUCGCCUCCCACCAGGUAACGGAGGCGCUCAAAGGUUCUCUCAGUACGGUCGGAAAUCGUACGUAGAGUGUAAAGGCAAAAGAGAGCUUGAUUGCAAGACAUACAGGUCGAGCAAGGAUGAAAAUCGGACUUAGUGAUCCGGUGGUUCUGCGUGGAAGGGCCAUCGCUCAACGGAUAAAAGCUACCCUGGGGAUAACAGGCUUAUCUCCCCCAAGAGUCCACAUCGACGGGGAGGUUUGGCACCGAGGUUCCGGCCC
Molecule: ribosomal RNA, 322 nt
Filed under: Clostridioides difficile
Lineage: Bacteria; Bacillati; Bacillota; Clostridia; Peptostreptococcales; Peptostreptococcaceae
Description: bacterial LSU rRNA
Rfam family: Bacterial large subunit ribosomal RNA
Source: RNAcentral